GCCUGAGUGGCUCAGUCGGUUAAGUGUCUGACUUUGGCUCAGGUCAUGAUCUCAUGGUUUGUGGGUUCAAGCCCCACAUCGGGCU
Molecule: transfer RNA, 85 nt
Filed under: Felis catus (domestic cat)
Lineage: Eukaryota; Metazoa; Chordata; Mammalia; Carnivora; Felidae
Also listed under: 2 other names
Rfam family: tRNA
About the family: Transfer RNA (tRNA) molecules are approximately 80 nucleotides in length.
Source: Rfam by way of RNAcentral